CGAGCGGUAACAGGUCUAGCUUGCUAGACGCUGACGAGCGGCGGACGGGUGCGUAACGCGUAGGAAUCUACCUGAUAGAGGGGGAUAGCCCGGGGAAACCCGGAUUAAUACCGCAUACGCUCUAUGGAGGAAAGUGGGGGAUCUUUGACCUCACGCUAUCAGAUGAGCCUGCGUAAGAUUAGCUAGUUGGUGGGGUAAAGGCCUACCAAGGCGACGAUCUUUAGCUGGUCUGAGAGGAUGAUCAGCCACACUGGGACUGAGACACGGCCCAGACUCCUACGGGAGGCAGCAGUGGGGAAUAUUGCACAAUGGGGGAAACCCUGAUGCAGCCAUGCCGCGUGUGUGAAGAAGGCCCUUCGGGUUGUAAAGCACUUUUCAGUAGGGAGGAAAAGGGUAGUAGUUAAAUACCUUGCCUAUCUGUGACGUUUACCUACAGA
Molecule: ribosomal RNA, 437 nt
Filed under: uncultured bacterium
Lineage: Bacteria
Description: bacterial SSU rRNA
Rfam family: Bacterial small subunit ribosomal RNA
Source: RNAcentral